RNAcentral lists this ribosomal RNA (758 nucleotides) under uncultured bacterium. Its description in RNAcentral is "bacterial SSU rRNA". It matches the Rfam family "Bacterial small subunit ribosomal RNA", at positions 8 to 796 of the family's 1533-position model. The record is from RNAcentral.
AGAGUUUGAUCCUGGCUCAGAAUCAACGCUGGCGGCGUGCCUAACACAUGCAAGUCGAACGAGAAAGUGGUAGCAAUACCAUGAGUAAAGUGGCGCACGGGUGAGUAACACGUGACUAACCUACCCUGGAGUGGGGGAUAACUGAGGGAAACCUUAGCUAAUACCGCAUAAUACCCACGGGUCAAAGGAGCAAUUCGCUUCAGGAGGGGGUCGCGGCCGAUUAGUUAGUUGGCGGGGUAAUGGCCCACCAAGACGAUGAUCGGUAUCCGGCCUGAGAGGGCGCACGGACACACUGGAACUGAAACACGGUCCAGACUCCUACGGGAGGCAGCAGUGGGGAAUUUUGCGCAAUGGGGGAAACCCUGACGCAGCAACGCCGCGUGGAGGAUGAAGUCCUUCGGGACGUAAACUCCUUUCGAUCGGGACGAUUAUGACGGUACCGGAAGAAGAAGCCCCGGCUAACUUCGUGCCAGCAGCCGCGGUAAUACGAGGGGGGCGAGCGUUGUUCGGAAUUAUUGGGCGUAAAGGGUGCGUAGGCGGUUUGGUAAGUCUCUUGUGAAAUCUAUGGGCUCAACUCAUAGUCUGCAAGGGAAACUGCCGGGCUUGAGUGUGGGAGAGGUGAGUGGAAUUUCCGGUGUAGCGGUGAAAUGCGUAGAUAUCGGAAGGAACACCUGUGGCGAAAGCGGCUCACUGGACCACAACUGACGCUGAUGCACGAAAGCUAGGGGAGCAAACAGGAUUAGAUACCCUAGUAGUCC